Heterocephalus glaber (naked mole-rat) is the source of this 1291-nucleotide non-coding RNA. The record is from RefSeq and is a predicted model, not a curated record. NCBI's taxonomy places the organism in Eukaryota, Metazoa, Chordata, Mammalia, Rodentia, Bathyergidae.
UUGUGAUGUCACAUGACAGGUGAUGAAUUAGUAUCCUCCUCAAUGUAGAAGAACCCCAGGAGCUCUGGCGAGAUGCUCAGGGACCCGUGACCAUGGGCAGGGGCUCCUCCUUCCUAAGCCUCUGUUCUCUCUUUGGGAAGGAACAGAACCCAAGGCAGUGCCUUCCGCACAGGAUGGGGAAGAUCCACAGGAGAGGCUGUGGGCACGAGGCCCAGAGUGUGAACACAGCAAGGCACUACCAGACGGGCAGCCUGAGCACAUUCCAGGAAAGUUACUGACUAACCAGGGCCCACGAACAGUCAAGAAAGCCCUGGAAACCAUGUCAACGUGAUUCAAUGCAGGCAGUUAGGCUGCAUUCACUCAGUGGGACAUGAGCAGUGGAUAAAAGGACAAGUAACAUGCACUGACAGAGAAAGAUGUCCACAAGUUCAGGGUAACAACUACAUAAUGGAAGUUCUCAGCUCAGUCAGCAGUGCUCUCAAUGACAAUGAAUGAACUACUCCUCCAGCCUACCAUGGUAAAAAGGGAACGACUCCAUCACCACUCCAGCCACCCAGUUCUGCUGCCCAAACAGGCCCAAAGGGGCUGGGAGGAGAGGAAACCUCUGGCAGCUCUUCCCAGCACCCGUCAACCCCAGGACCUUGCAUGAGUCUCAACACUGAAAAACUGUGAUGACAACCACGCCAUCUGAUGGUGUGCCUGCCUCUUCACAACUCCAGAGGUAACGCUGAUCAACUGCUCCCUGUGCACCGUGUGCUGUGGCAAGUGUGCCGUGUGCAUGACUUCAUCUACUCCUGUCAACCUCCUGUUGGGAGACUCAGCCCUGCCUGGGUCUCUGGCUCUCCGACACAGGCCACACCAAAAGGCUGGGUCCUGACCACCCUUGGCUCAGGACACUCCUCAGGGUGGUGUCUGCAGCGAGCAACCUUGAGGGAGGCAAUUCUGUCUCCCUCAGGGAUGAAGAGCAGGUCUACCUGCUAUAGAGCAGCAACUUCCCCAGGCUCCAUGCUCUGUGGAUGUGACUCAAAGCACAGCAUCCAUCUGGGCCCACAGUAUCACCCUUGCAGGAUGUGGGGGAGAGGGAAGUGAUACACAUGCUUUCCUGAUGACAGAGUUUUGGGUCUGGUGGGGAGUUUUAUACAUACAAAAAUAGGUAAGGGAGACAGGGUGAGUUUUCCCUCCAGAUGAUCCCACCCUGAGUCCUGUAACCCAAAACUUUUUGGCACGAAGGACCAGUUUUAGGAAAGACAAUUUUUUCAUGGACCAGACAGGAGGUAUGGUUUCAGGGAUU